UUGACCUCGGAUCAGGUAGGGUUACCCGCUGAACUUAAGCAUAUCAAUAAGCGGAGGAAAAGAAACCAACAGGGAUUGCCUCAGUAACGGCGAGUGAAGCGGCAACAGCUCAAAUUUGAAAUCUGGCGGCCUCUGGGCCGUCCGAGUUGUAAUUUGAAGAGGAUGCUUUUGGCGAGGCGCCUUCCGAGUGCCCUGGAACGGGACGCCACAGAGGGUGAGAGCCCCGUAUGGUUGGACGCCGAGCCUCUGUAAAGCUCCUUCGACGAGUCGAGUAGUUUGGGAAUGCUGCUCAAAAUGGGAGGUAAACCCCUUCUAAAGCUAAAUACUGGCCAGAGACCGAUAGCGCACAAGUAGAGUGAUCGAAAGAUGAAAAGCACUUUGAAAAGAGAGUUAAAUAGCACGUGAAAUUGUUGAAAGGGAAGCGCUUGCGACCAGACUUGUGCCCGUCGAAUCAGCCGCCGCUCGCCGGCGGCGCACUUCGGCGGGCUCAGGCCAGCAUCAGUUCGCUGCAGGGGGAGAAAGGCGGCGGGAAUGUGGCUCUUCGGAGUGUUAUAGCCCGCCGCGCAAUACCCCUCGGCGGACUGAGGACCGCGCAUCUGCAAGGAUGCUGGCGUAAUGGUCGUCAGCGACCCGUCUUGAAACACGGACCAAGGAGUCGUCCUAAUAUGCGAGUGUUCGGGUGUAAAACCCCUGCGCGUAAUGAAAGUGAACGGAGGUGAGAGCUUCGGCGCAUCAUCGACCGAUCCUGAUGUUCUCGGAUGGAUUUGAGUAAGAGCAUAUUGGGCCGGACCCGAAAGAAGGUGAACUAUGCCUGUAUAGGGUAAAGCCAGAGGAAACUCUGGUGGAGGCUCGCAGCGGUUCUGACGUGCAAAUCGAUCGUCAAAUAUGGGCAUGGGGGCGAA
Molecule: ribosomal RNA, 902 nt
Filed under: Scedosporium boydii
Lineage: Eukaryota; Fungi; Ascomycota; Sordariomycetes; Microascales; Microascaceae
Description: eukaryotic LSU rRNA
Rfam family: Eukaryotic large subunit ribosomal RNA
Source: RNAcentral